This is an RNA transcript of Juglans microcarpa x Juglans regia, 1854 nucleotides long. RefSeq lists it as uncharacterized. The transcript has 4 exons. Lineage: Eukaryota; Viridiplantae; Streptophyta; Magnoliopsida; Fagales; Juglandaceae. The record is from RefSeq and is a predicted model, not a curated record.
AAAGAACGACGAGCCAUAUACAACUCUGAAAACUAUAUAUAUACACAAAGAACAUGAAAACCAGAAAACAUUUUACAAAACGUGUGAACAAGACAAUAGUGUUUCCGGGGAAAAAAAUUCAAUAAAGAUAGUUCUUACAUUUAGUCAAGUAAAAGGGCAUUUACGUCAAUUAACUUAAGAAAAGGUGUACUUUCUAACUUUUUAGAUUCCAAAAGGAAGGAGAGAAACUCUGCGAACUCCUGAAAGUCUCAAACAGAUGCCCCCCUGCCCACCCAAUCGCGCACACGAACCAAGGAGAACGAACUUUCCAUCUCCUUCCUUAGGCCUUUAUAUGAUAUACCUAUCUGGGUUUUUCCUCUGGACUCCAGAAUAAUACUAUAUUUAAGCUUUGUAUGAUAGCAUGUUGUUCUACAUAAGGGGCUUGUUCCAUUUGGUUUGGCAUAAAAACUUGGCAAGUUAUCCUUAGUAUUUCCAUCACUUUUUUUGUGUAAUUGACAGUUGUUAUCUAAGGAAAGUGAGCUGCAUGCUAUCUGCUUUUACAUUUUCAAUUCAAUAUUAUCUUCAUGGCCUUAAGACCUUUAUGUAAAGGAAGAUUCAAGCCCAAUGUAUCCAACAUGGAAGAUAUUCAAUUGAGUACUACUUGGGAAGAUGUGUUUUGCCCGAUAUGCUUGGAGUUUCCGCACAAUGGUGUACUCCUUCAAUGCUCAUCUCAUGAGAAAGGAUGCCAUCCUUUUGUGUGUGACACAGACCAUUUGCACUCAAACUGCUUAGACCGUUUCAAAAGCGCGUAUGGUAUGUCAUCGGCUUCAACAUCAAAUGUAACUCCCACAGAAAACAGCGAGCCAGUGGUAUCUGAAGGCAACUAUAAACCAAGUUGUCCCUUGUGUAGAGGAGAGGUUACUGGGUGGGUGGUUGUUGAAAAGGCUCGUCUAUAUCUAGAUGAGAAGAGACGUUAUUGUGAGGAGGCACAAUGUAAAUUUAUGGGGACGUAUUUAGAACUGCAAAACCAUGCUCGACUGGUGCACCCUCAUGCUCGUCCAUCAAAGAUUGAUCCUGCUCAGCAGCUUGAUUGGGAGAAUUUCCAGCAGUCCUCUGAGAUCAUAGAUGUUUUGAGCACUAUUCAUUCCGAAGUCCCACAUGGUGUGGUUUUGGGAGACUAUGUAAUUGAAUAUGGGGAUGAUGAAACUGUAGAUGAAUUUGAGGACUUCCCUGGGGAUGAGGGGAAUUGGUGGACCUCUUGUAUCCUUUAUCAGGUGUUUGAUAACUUCCGGAGUUCUAGAAACAGAAGAAGGUCAAGAGUUAGUGAUACAAGAAGUGGAAAUCACCGUACAAGUUAUGAUAGUUCCAUUUCUGAUGGGGGUUCUGUAACAUCUGUAGAAUAUUCUGAGUAUAGGGUAGACGAGACUGAUUAUGAUUUUGUGAGUACAAAUGUCCCAAGGGAUACCUCCAAUCAUCGCAGUUCUCAAAGACGCCGUUCCCGCUUCUAUGACAAUUAGGUAUGCACUGCCCAUGGAUCCUCUUUAUGCUGGCUAUUGUUUACUAUACAAUGGAAAAUCUUUGGUCAUUUUAUACUAUAACCCUCGUCUUCAUUGUUUGAAGUGAGAGGGCAUAUUUGGUUAUUCUGUCUUUUUUAGGCAUAUAACUUAAUUGUUUUUCUUUGACAGUGCUUGCUUAGAUGUAUAGUGAAAAACAGAGGAAGUAGAAAACACUGUAUGCUUGCUUCAGAUCACCUCAAUGUUAAAACAUGCAAAAGCUCAUCUGGAUCUCGUCUUGUAACAUUUGUGAUGAGAUGUGGUGAUUAUACAUGAACUAACCUGAUAAUCCAUCUGGUUAUGUUAUGACUGCUUUGGUAAA